This 425-nucleotide ribosomal RNA is filed under the name uncultured bacterium. RNAcentral's name for it is "bacterial SSU rRNA". It matches the Rfam family "Bacterial small subunit ribosomal RNA", at positions 358 to 774 of the family's 1533-position model. The record is from RNAcentral.
GGAAUAUUGGGCAAUGGGCGCAAGCCUGACCCAGCCAUGCCGCGUGAGUGAUGAAGGCCUUCGGGUCGUAAAGCUCUGUGGGGAGGGACGAAACAGCACGGUGCAAAUACCACCGGGUCCUGACGGUACCUCCUUAGCAAGCACCGGCUAACUCCGUGCCAGCAGCCGCGGUAAUACGGAGGGUGCAAACGUUGCUCGGAAUCAUUGGGCGUAAAGCGCACGUAGGCGGCCCGUUAAGUCGGAUGUGAAAGCCCAGGGCUCAACCCUGGAAGUGCAUUCGAAACUGGCGGGCUUGAAUAUGGAAGAGGGUCGCGGAAUUCCCGGUGUAGAGGUGAAAUUCGUAGAUAUCGGGAGGAACACCAGUGGCGAAGGCGGCGACCUGGGCCAAUAUUGACGCUGAGGUGCGAAAGCGUGGGGAGCAAACA